GGGUCGGUAGCUCAGUCGGUAGAGCAUCGGACUGAAAAUCCGAGUGUCGGCAGUUCAAUUCUGCCCUGACCCACCA
This 76-nucleotide transfer RNA is filed under the name Smithella sp. SDB. RNAcentral describes it as "tRNA-Phe". It matches the Rfam family "tRNA". From Rfam's summary of the family: Transfer RNA (tRNA) molecules are approximately 80 nucleotides in length. Their secondary structure includes four short double-helical elements and three loops (D, anti-codon, and T loops). Further hydrogen bonds mediate the characteristic L-shaped molecular structure. tRNAs have two regions of fundamental functional importance: the anti-codon, which is responsible for specific mRNA codon recognition, and the 3' end, to which the tRNAs corresponding amino acid is attached (by aminoacyl-tRNA synthetases). tRNAs cope with the degeneracy of the genetic code in two manners: having more than one tRNA (with a specific anti-codon) for a particular amino acid; and 'wobble' base-pairing, i.e. permitting non-standard base-pairing at the 3rd anti-codon position. RNAcentral also lists the same sequence under 19 other names. The record is from RNAcentral. Lineage: Bacteria; Pseudomonadati; Thermodesulfobacteriota; Syntrophia; Syntrophales; Smithellaceae.